This 693-nucleotide unclassified non-coding RNA is filed under the name Hevea brasiliensis (rubber tree). Lineage: Eukaryota; Viridiplantae; Streptophyta; Magnoliopsida; Malpighiales; Euphorbiaceae. The record is from RNAcentral.
GAAAUUUUGUGGAUCCACCAUUGUUUUCACCUUAACCAACCUAUCAAAAUUUUUAUUGAAAUACUUGGUCCCAUAGACUCUUCCUUUUUCUAAACUAUGUUGUGAAACUUGAUCAUUUAUACCAAUAUCAAGAUCCCUGUAAUUCAAAUAAGCUUGUCUUGGAUUCUUUGAAACAUAUGGGGUCAUGAAACUGUACAAAUCUCUUAUUUGUGAUAAGUACUCUUUUUCAGCUGUUAAUCCUUCUUCAUGCCAAUUCAUUGAAUACUGAAUCUUGAAAAGUAUACCUGCUCUGUGAGGAAAUGGUGUUUCUCCUUCUGCAAUUUCACCCAUUCUUCCCCCAUAUGGAUUGAACACCAUUCCUGCUUUUCCUAAAGAAAUCAUUUUAGCGAAAAUGGACUCCAACUCCUUCUUAGGAAUUGGGGUUUGUACGUAAUCAGAUUUUCUUUUCAAGUGAGUUAAUGGAUCCCCUUUUCGGUUCAACAACGCUUCUGGUUUUGUCGUGUUGUCGAAAUUUGCCCAUUGUAGUACGGAAUCAAUCCAACUCAUUUCCACACAAUCUUGUUUUUUCAAUCCCAAAAGAGGGAAUUGUUUGCUUAUUAGAGACAUUAAUCUAGUAGAAUCACCCAAGAACAACGCGACGAACGUUGCUCGUAUCGAUUUACUACUCUUUGCACCCUUGGACUUGCUUUUCAC